Molecule: long non-coding RNA, 221 nt
Filed under: Nicotiana benthamiana
Lineage: Eukaryota; Viridiplantae; Streptophyta; Magnoliopsida; Solanales; Solanaceae
Description: long non-coding RNA (NBEN_LNC014734)
Source: RNAcentral
UGUAUUUCUGAGGGAGACUGUUGUUGCGCAGGUUCAUCAUGCUCCUCGUCAUCAAGAUAUGAUGGUGCUGGAGGUUGAGAUGGCUCAACUGAUUUUUCCUUCCAAUCCCAUGCUCCAUGUUCAUCAAAGGUGACAUCUCUACUGACAAUAACCUUUUAGCUGUCUGGAUUAUAUAGCUUGUACCCUUUUGUCUGUCGACUGUAGCCAACAAAUAUGCUCUU